GUGGCGACGAUGCGUAGGGGUUCUGAGAGGAAGGUCCCCCACACUGGUACUGAGACACGGACCAGACUCCUACGGGAGGCAGCAGUGAGGAAUAUUGGUCAAUGGGAGAGAUCCUGAACCAGCCAAGCCGCGUGAGGGAAGACGGCCCUAUGGGUUGUAAACCUCUUUUGUCGGAGAACAAAACCCGGGACGAGUCCCGGACUGCGUGUAUCCGAAGAAAAAGCAUCGGCUAACUCCGUGCCAGCAGCCGCGGUAAUACGGAGGAUGCGAGCGUUAUCCGGAUUUAUUGGGUUUAAAGGGUGCGUAGGCGGUCCGUUAAGUCAGCGGUAAAAUUGCGGGGCUCAACCCCGUCGAGCCGUUGAAACUGGCAGACUUGAGUUGGCGAGAAGUACGCGGAAUGCGCGGUGUAGCGGUGAAAUGCAUAGAUAUCGCGCAGAACUCCGAUUGCGAAGGCAGCGUACCGGCGCCAGACUGACGCUGAGGCACGAAAGCGUGGGGAUCGAACAGGAUUAGAUACCCUGGUAGUCCACGCAGUAAACGAUGAAUGCUGGUUGUCCGGGUCGAAUGAGACC
Molecule: ribosomal RNA, 572 nt
Filed under: uncultured bacterium
Lineage: Bacteria
Description: bacterial SSU rRNA
Rfam family: Bacterial small subunit ribosomal RNA
Source: RNAcentral